CCCUUAGAUGUUCUGGGCCGCACGCGCGCUACAAUGAUGAAUUCAACGAGUUUAUAACCUUGGUUGAAAAGCCUGGGUAAUCUUUUGAACUUUCGUCGUGAUGGGGCUAGACCCUUGCAAUUAUUGGUCUCCAACGAGGAAUUCCUAGUAAACACAAGUCAUCAGCUUGCAUUGAUUACGUCCCUGCCCUUUGUACACACCGCCCGUCGCACCUACCGAUUGAAUGGUCCGGUGAAAUCUUCGGAUUGAGACUUUGAUUUCUUCACGGAAAACGCUGUUUUAAAAAGUUGAUUAAACCUUACCAUUUAGAGGAAGGUGAAGUCGUAACA
This 329-nucleotide ribosomal RNA is filed under the name uncultured eukaryote. RNAcentral's name for it is "partial 18S ribosomal RNA". It matches the Rfam family "Eukaryotic small subunit ribosomal RNA", at positions 1470 to 1796 of the family's 1831-position model. The record is from RNAcentral.